RNAcentral lists this ribosomal RNA (301 nucleotides) under uncultured bacterium. RNAcentral's name for it is "partial 16S ribosomal RNA". It matches the Rfam family "Bacterial small subunit ribosomal RNA", at positions 509 to 807 of the family's 1533-position model. The record is from RNAcentral.
CAGUCGCCACGGGAAUACGAAGGGGGCUAGCGUUGUUCGGAUUUACUGGGCGUAAAGCGCACGUAGGCGGACUUUUAAGUCAGGGGUGAAAUCCCGGGGCUCAACCCCGGAACUGCCUUUGACACUGGGAGUCUUGAGCUCGAGAGAGGUGAGUGGAAUUGCGAGUGUAGAGGUGAAAUUCGUAGAUAUUCGCAGGAACACCAGUGGCGAAGGCGGCUCACUGGCUCGAUACUGACGCUGAGGUGCGAAAGCGUGGGGAGCAAACAGGAUUAGAUACCCCGGUAGUCCCUGUCUCUUAUAC